RNAcentral lists this small nuclear RNA (118 nucleotides) under Microcebus murinus (gray mouse lemur). Its description in RNAcentral is "U5 spliceosomal RNA (ENSMICG00000045890.1)". It matches the Rfam family "U5 spliceosomal RNA". From Rfam's summary of the family: U5 RNA is a component of both types of known spliceosome. The precise function of this molecule is unknown, though it is known that the 5' loop is required for splice site selection and p220 binding, and that both the 3' stem-loop and the Sm site are important for Sm protein binding and cap methylation. The record is from Rfam by way of RNAcentral. Lineage: Eukaryota; Metazoa; Chordata; Mammalia; Primates; Cheirogaleidae.
AUACUCUGGUUUCUCCUUAAAUCGUAUAAAUCUUUUGCCUUUUACUGAAGAUUUCUGUGGAGACGAACAGCUCUGAGUCUUAAACCAAUUUUUUUUAAGAUCUUGUUUCAGCAAGGCU